ACGUAGGGUGCGAGCGUUAAUCGGAAUUACUGGGCGUAAAGCGUGCGCAGGCGGCUUUGCAAGACAGAUGUGAAAUCCCCGGGCUCAACCUGGGAACUGCAUUUGUGACUGCAAGGCUAGAGUACGGCAGAGGGGGAUGGAAUUCCGCGUGUAGCAGUGAAAUGCGUAGAUAUGCGGAGGAACACCAAUGGCGAAGGCAAUCCCCUGGGCCUGUACUGACGCUCAUGCACGAAAGCGUGGGGAGCAAACAG
This 251-nucleotide ribosomal RNA is filed under the name uncultured prokaryote. RNAcentral describes it as "partial 16S ribosomal RNA". It matches the Rfam family "Bacterial small subunit ribosomal RNA", at positions 525 to 775 of the family's 1533-position model. The record is from RNAcentral.